CGGCGGCGGCGGCGGCGGCGGCGGGCGGGGAGGAGGCCGCGCCGCCCGGGCCCAGGCGCCGCUCUAGCCGCGCCGGCUCAGCCGAGCGCGCUGCGCCGCGGCCCCUCGCGGCCCGCCCCGGGCCCGGCCGCGCCGCCAUCUUCCGUGCCUCGCAGUGCUCGCGCCCCGCCCGCCGGGGUCCCCGCGGCUCCGGGGAGGCCCUCCCGGCCGCGCGCGGCGCCCUCCGGAGCGCGGCGGAGCCCCGGGUGGGAGCGGCUCCGGGGCCGCUGGAAUCCGGGGCAGGACGUCUUGUUUGCCCGGGCGGCGGCUCCCCGGCCAAGCCUGCACCGGCGCCUGCGGGGACCCCCGGGGACCGACUUGAACUCGAGUCACCUUCUGGGGCCGCUGUCACCCGCAGACCCAGAGCCCUUGGGCGUGCCGGGUGGGCAGGCCUUCCCCACGGGAUGAACUGCGCCUCAGCCGCCGUGCCGGCACGCCGCCCCCGCCGCCCGCAGCGGUAUUUUAAGCCGGUGGUGGUGACCCGAGGGCCGGCUGAUUCAGUCCACCUCUGAAAGGCCUAUGGCAUCUUUCCUUCCUCUCCAUUCCCACUACCAAAGCUUACUUCGUCCACCCGUUCAUCUAUUCAAAAAAUGUGUACUGAGCAUCUCCUAUGUGACAGACACUGUUUAGGUUCUUGGGAUAUAUUGCUAAACAAAAGAGGCAAAAUUAAUAGCCCUCUGGGUCUAACAAUUUAAUUCUGGGUCUAUGUCCUCACCCUUGGGCCACUGAGACAUCCUUUCACCUGAACGUCUCAGCUUUACCUCCUAUAAUAUGUCCUGUAGCCAGCUUCCAUACUGAUUUUUCGUAACUAAAAGUUUAUCCUUUGAUCAUGCAUGCUGUUCCAUGGUUCAAAAAAGCCCUCCUGGUAAACUGGCCUACCCUAUUUGAUAUUACCUCCCCUGUUCCUAAAAUUCUUCACUUUAUCCAAGACAUUUUCACAAGCAAGUUUCCAUGCCUGUGCUAAGCCAGUGUUCUGUAGUUUCCACCAAUGUGAAUUACAAAGGGUUGAAUUUGUCUCCCAAAGAUAGCUUCAACUCCUAACCCUCCGUACCUGUGAACAUGACCUUGUUUGAAAAUAGGGUCUUUGCAGGUGUAAUCGAGUUAAAAUGAGUUCAUACUGGGUUAGGAGGGGCUUUAAGACCAAUGACUGGUAUCUUUAUAAGAGAAAAGAGAGGAAGAAUUGGACCCACAAACACAGGGAAGAAGGCCGUGUGAAGAGAUGGAGAUAGAGAUUAGAAUGAUGCAGCUACAAGCCAAGGAAUGCCAAGAAUUUCCAGGAGUUCUGAGAAGCUAGAAGGAGGCAAGGAAAGAUUCUUCCCUAGAGACUUCAGAGGGAGCGUAGCCCUUCCAACACCUUGAUUUUGGACUUCCAGCUUCCAGAACUAUCGUGAAAACCUUGAAUGCCUGCUAAGAAAUUUCAACUUUAUUCUAAAGGCAUUGGCAACUGAAUGAAGGUUUUGGUUUUAGAGCGAGAGAAUGACACUUUCAGAGCAUUCUGAGGAAUGACUCAGAAAACUAUCCAGAGGAUGGCUGUAGUCAUCCAGAUAAGAGGCAAUGAUGGCAUGAGCAAAGCCAAUGACAGUGCAGAUGGAACACAAGGAACAGGUGCAAGAUUUAUUGUGGAGAUAAGAGUGGAACAACUUAGCAACCAAUGGGAUAUGAGGAUUGAUGGAGGCAAAAAGAUUGCAAGUGACUGGGAAAGUGUCUGGAAGGAUGAUGGUUCAUAACACACCAGAAUGGAUGAGAAGAAGAAGAAGUCUUAAGCACUGUGAAUGAAGGCUGGCGCCUCCCUCAAGCCAACCUGAGGUCUGUGGAGUGGCUGUUUUAUUUUUCAUAGUCACAGGGAGGCCCAGAACACUGCUCUGAAGAAGAAAAAUCAUGAAGCCAUUGUGUAAAAGAGAGAAGAGAAAACUGUUUAGGUUUUGAAAACCUUCCAGUUUCCACUUCUAGGCUCUA
Long non-coding RNA from Equus asinus (donkey), 1995 nucleotides. The record is from Ensembl. Lineage: Eukaryota; Metazoa; Chordata; Mammalia; Perissodactyla; Equidae.